CAGUCGCCGCGGGAAUACGAAGGGUGCAAGCGUUACUCGGAAUUACUGGGCGUAAAGCGUGCGUAGGUGGUGGUUUAAGUCCGUUGUGAAAGCCCUGGGCUCAACCUGGGAAUUGCAGUGGAUACUGGGUCACUAGAGUGUGGUAGAGGAUAGUGGAAUUUCCGGUGUAGCAGUGAAAUGCGUAGAGAUCGGAAGGAACAUCUGUGGCGAAGGCGACUAUCUGGGCCAACACUGACACUCAUGCACGAAAGCGUGGGGAGCAAACAGGAUAAGAUACCCCCGUAGUCCCUGUCUCUUAUAC
This 301-nucleotide ribosomal RNA is filed under the name uncultured bacterium. RNAcentral's name for it is "partial 16S ribosomal RNA". It matches the Rfam family "Bacterial small subunit ribosomal RNA", at positions 509 to 807 of the family's 1533-position model. The record is from RNAcentral.